GGAACACUGGCCAACAGCCAUGAACAAGUGUGUAGGGUUUAGCUGCUUGUAGGGUGCUUUGAAAUGGUCACCUCAUAAUUGUGCCAGAAGUGCAUCACCUCCUUGAAUGAGGAGCAGACAGCAGAUGGUUUUUAAUUGUGUGCUCUCUUAAGGCAAAGCAUAAUUGAUUUGAAGGAAAAGGAGAUACCAGAGUUAAGAAACAAACUGCAGAGCGUCAAUAGAGACAUCCAGCGCCUGAAGAAUGACAUAGAAGAACAGGAAACACUCUUGGGUACAAUAAUGCCUGAAGAAGAAAGUGCAAAAAUGUGUCUGACAGAUGUCACAAUCAUGGAGAGGUUCCAGAUGGAGCUUAAAGAUGUUGAGAGAAAAAUUGCACAACAAGCAGCUAAGCUACAAGGAAUAGACUUGGAUCGAACUGUCCAACAAGUUAACCAGGAAAAACAAGAAAAGCAGCACAAACUGGAUACAGUUUCCAGUAAGAUUGAAUUGAAUCGUAAGCUCAUACAGGACCAGCAGGAACAAAUUCAAUACCUAAAAAGUACCACAAAUGAACUGAAGUCAGAGAAACUGCAGAUAUCCACUAAUUUGCAGCGUCGUCAGCAACUGGAGGAGCAGACAGUGGAGUUAUCCACUGACGUUCAGUCUUUAUGCAGAGAGAUAAAGGUAAGACUAUACAUACACGUUGGGUUUUUUUUUUAAGUUGUUUUCAGACAUGAAAU
This 719-nucleotide long non-coding RNA is filed under the name Nannospalax galili (Upper Galilee mountains blind mole rat). Its description in RNAcentral is "lncRNA (ENSNGAG00000024555.1)". Lineage: Eukaryota; Metazoa; Chordata; Mammalia; Rodentia; Spalacidae. The record is from RNAcentral.